Molecule: ribosomal RNA, 509 nt
Filed under: uncultured archaeon
Lineage: Archaea
Description: bacterial SSU rRNA
Rfam family: Archaeal small subunit ribosomal RNA
Source: RNAcentral
UUCCGGUUGAUCCUGCCGGAGGUUACCGCUUUCGGUGUUCGACUAAGCCAUGCAAGUCAUAUGUUCCUCGUGAACAUGGCAUACUGCUCAGUAACACGUGGAUAACCUGCCCUUGGGUCUGGGAUAACCCCGGGAAACUGGGGAUAAUACCGGAUAACGCAUAUGUGCUGGAAUGCUUUAUGCGUAAAAUGGAUUCGUCCGCCCAAGGAUGGGUCUGCGGCCUAUCAGGUAGUAGUGGGUGUAAUGUACCUACUACCCAACAACGGGUACGGGUUGUGAAAGCAAGAGCCCGGAGAUGGAUUCUGAGACAUGAAUCCAGGCCCUACGGGGCGCAGCAGGCGCGAAAACUUUACAAUGCGGGAAACCGUGAUAAGGGAACACCGAGUGCCAGCAUCAUAUGCUGGCUGUCCAGAUGUGUAAACUACAUCUGUUAGCAAGGGCCGGGCAAGACCGGUGCCAGCCGCCGCGGUAACACCGGCGGCCCGAGUGGUGACCGUUAUUAUUGGGUC